Molecule: non-coding RNA, 396 nt
Organism: Reichenbachiella faecimaris
Lineage: Bacteria; Pseudomonadati; Bacteroidota; Cytophagia; Cytophagales; Reichenbachiellaceae
Rfam family: transfer-messenger RNA
About the family: Bacterial tmRNA, also known as 10Sa RNA or SsrA, is named for its dual tRNA and mRNA-like properties. Its role is to liberate the mRNA from a stalled ribosome.
Source: Rfam
GGGGUCGACCGGUUUUGACAGUAAGUGUGGAUAUUGUACUUGCAUGUCGGGUGUUGAGUAAGCACACGUGAUCAAUUUACUCAUAUUCUAUUUGGCGAAUCUAAUUACGCCAUGGCUGCUUAAUUUUUGCUGAUAGCAAAAAUUAUUAAUCCCGAUUAAGAAUCGGGACAGACACAUCCCUCCAUGCUUUUGUCUUAUGAGCAGGAUCAAGGGGUGUCACCCAGUAAGACUAGCCUGAGGCGAAGUUGCUAACCAAUGGCGAAGCUAAAGUAACUGGUAGGAAAAGUGGGUUGUUGAACGCCAGCUCUCCUACGAGAUCCUAAGUUUCAACUAUGCAUGUAGACGGUCCAAUAUGACCUUAUCUGGACGAGGGUUCGAUUCCCUCCGACUCCACAA